Molecule: ribosomal RNA, 254 nt
Filed under: uncultured bacterium
Lineage: Bacteria
Description: partial 16S ribosomal RNA
Rfam family: Bacterial small subunit ribosomal RNA
Source: RNAcentral
UACGGGGGGGGCAAGCGUUGUUCGGAUUUACUGGGCGUAAAGGGCGCGUAGGCGGCCACUGCAAGUCAGUUGUGAAAUCUCCGGGCUUAACCCGGAAAGGUCAACUGAUACUGCAGGGCUAGAGUGCAGAAGGGGCAACUGGAAUUCUCGGUGUAGCGGUGAAAUGCGUAGAUAUCGAGAGGAACACCUGCGGCGAAGGCGGGUUGCUGGGCUGACACUGACGCUGAUGUGCGAAAGCUAGGGGAGCGAACGGG